GUGUCCAGAGGAUAUGAAGGUGAUGCUGCAUGUCCUGGAGCUGGCCUGAUGGAGCUGAGAGCAGAUGGAUGGAUGGAGCCAGCACUGCUGAUCCGUGGCAGUGAGGCUGUGCAUUGUACAUGGAACCACUCACGUGAUUCCUGUCGAGCCAAAAUAUUCUUUCAGAAAGAGCAUUGACCAGAUGCCUUAUUAUUAUUGCUCACAAUGCUGUCCUCAGAGUACAACAAUCCAUCACGGAGCUCGGCGCAGUCCUACAGAAAAGUCCCUGACACAUUUUUACAGAAGGGCCAGGUUCUCACCACUUGUGUGCAUUUGUAUCCCUUGACAAAUAGCUGUUUGACUUCAGUUUUGUUCCAAGUCAGUGGUGUCAAGCACAGGGCUCCUAUUCAAGUGCCCACCAAUGGUGAUGCACAACUCCCUGCUUCCUCUUCUUUUCUUGCUUUGUUUCCCUGUGGCAGUCACUGUUUCUUUUUUUUCCCCUUCUCCUCACAUAUCUCAUAGGUUUGCUUUAAAGAUAGUUUUAAAGAAUAUAUUCACAGCAAAAAAGUGCCUUUAAUAAGAACUGUAAAAAUGGCUCAGGACUAGAUAUCAUGGGGAAUUGCUGUUUGCAUAGGUUGCUGAUAUGACACUUGAUUAUUUUCUGCUAAUUUUUCCAACUUGAUUAGCAGACUGGCUAGCGAAGCCUUGGGUGUGUUGAGAAAUACUGUGGUUUGGCUUCUGCUCAAUGUAUGGCUCCUCCUAAAACUGAGAGGUGUGUUCCUAAGUGCUCUGAGCACCUCGGACGUGUGGUAGAAUUAUUACUACCAGGUUAUGAGCAGUGCUGUUUGUCCUUUCAUGUAUCAGCCUUUCAGGCAAGACGUUGACUUUAAAUUCCUUUCUGAGUUAAAUGUAUCCCCAAGGUUGCCUGUAAGGAACAGACUCCAGCUGUGUCAUGUGCUGUGUGAACUUAAAAAACAACGAUGUCCCUCUGUUUCAGGUGUAUUGAGAGUGUAGUGGCUGAGGGAUGUGCAGAAAGUCAAGCUGGGAGUGGAAGCACAGCCCCAAAAUGCAUGUGCACAGCCGUGGUUCAUCAUUAUGGAGGCUGUUGGUGGCCCUGCCUAUGCUCUGAUGCUUCCUCUGGAGUUCAGCUUCGAAGUAAAUCUCACAUCACACUGCAAACUUUUUUUCAAGCCAGAGACCUGUCUGUAAUUCGUAGCUCACCAGGGUCUGCAGGCCAGAGGCUGAAAAGUGUUGCAUCAAAGGAGCUGAGUGCUGGAGAUGUGGCUGAGAUGGAAAUGAAGGUCUAAAGUCCCAGAAUGGAAACCACCCAGGCCUCCUUGCUCAACUCCCUUCUGAUGCUGUGGAAUCGGAUGCCCAAAUGGGAUGGGCAGGACCUCCAGCAUGCCCUACAUCAGCGGGAGCCCUGGAAGGCCACACAGCAGCAAACGAUGCUGUGAUUUCCAGAGGAUGCUGAUGCUCAACCUGGAUGGCUGGAAAAACCUAUUGAUCAAGAGGCUGUGUCCUACAAAAGGGAGAAAUAGGUCAGCAGAUAUGUUAAUCCCAGCUUGAUCUAAAGUCUUCGGGACAGGUGGCAACCUUCAUUUAAUGGAACAAUGAGAUCAUUAGGAAUUCAUAAUGAACUGUACCGUGGCCAUGGAAGUAGGUCACACUUACCCCAGGAAGACAUCAAAUUGAAUCUGUUCCCAUUCACGUGCAGGAGUGGAGAUGGCUGGGGGCAGGCUGAUAGCUCUGCCUUGGGAUUUGCUCACCAGACAAUUUUAGGAAGGAAAGGGGGCAAAUGCAAUGGACAUAAAAUGAUUUACAUUGUCC
Phasianus colchicus (ring-necked pheasant) is the source of this 1809-nucleotide long non-coding RNA. NCBI's taxonomy places the organism in Eukaryota, Metazoa, Chordata, Aves, Galliformes, Phasianidae. The record is from Ensembl.